Molecule: non-coding RNA, 363 nt
Organism: Pelobates cultripes (western spadefoot toad)
Lineage: Eukaryota; Metazoa; Chordata; Amphibia; Anura; Pelobatidae
Source: the annotation of a GenBank genome assembly
AUGACAACAGCCCUUAUAUAACUCCUAAAAUCACCACCCACUAGGAAUGUUUAACACCUGGGUAGGCCUCUGCUUAUUUGCAAACAAUAGCUAAUUAACCAGCAAUCAACAGCAAGUAACUAGCUUAAUCAAAUCAAAUGCCUUAUAAUUACCAACAGGAAUUCAAACCUUGGGCAAUCAGUAACCUUUUCCUACAGAUGAAUCUUACCAACAGGAAUUCAAACCUUGGGCAAUCAGUAACCUUUUCCUACAGAUGAAUCUUACCUGUAACAGUAGAAAAGAAAGCUCUUAGCACAACUCUUAGACAGUUGAAGCUUCUGUAAAACUCUCCAAAAUAUCUCCAACUACACACUUAGAAACAGC